CGCGAGGAAGUUUGAAUAUUUUGGGUAAUAUUUCGAACUAUUUGAUUAUAGUUGCUAGAGUUUUGACAUACUCAUGAAGUUGUAGUAGUUAAUAAGCGAGCUGGAGUUCAUAGCUUUUUGGUGAGAGAGAAAUUGAUAUUUUGAUAAAAAAAUUUGGGAAUUUUGUGUUUUCAGAAAUAAAUUUUGUGGCUUUUUUCAAGUGUGUGAUUGAUUGGAAACUGUGGGUUGUGUAUGAUAGCAUGGCUUCUGAAACUAAGAAGUUGAAGAAUGGGUAUUUAUUUAGGAAGGAGGAAGAGGAGAAGGGGAAGAGAAUGAGG
Molecule: unclassified non-coding RNA, 317 nt
Filed under: Hevea brasiliensis (rubber tree)
Lineage: Eukaryota; Viridiplantae; Streptophyta; Magnoliopsida; Malpighiales; Euphorbiaceae
Source: RNAcentral